UGCCUCAUUCAAUCUUUUCAAUUCUUCAUUUAAACCAGUUUUAUCGCAUAUGUUGUUAAUUUGUUUGUUAUUGUCUUUAACUUCAAACCUUACAGAUAUUUUAAUUUAUUGCAACUACUGAUAAAUGUAUACUAAUAUGUUUUAUGUAAGAGUUCAUCCUUGGUCAACCUUGUAUUGGGGGUAAUACUAGUAGUUAACAUAUAUUACCAAGGACGUCUACUGUAGUGAUGAAGUGAUAAAAAUGUACUUUACUUAGCACCUCGAGAAGUAUUAUAACUAUUUAAAUGUUUUACAUUAUUUAUAACACUCUAUUGUUCAUCGAGGUAUAUUCUCAUCUGAGUGUUCAUCGGCCUACUUGGCUGUCCACUUCUUCUUAGCGAGUAAAAUGAUUUACACGAAAGUCUAAUAGACCGUUUAUGUGACCUUCUAUUACAUAAUAUUAUAGCAAUAAUGUUUGUACUUUUUUGUUCCAAUACAUUGACUUAAAAUGUUUUUGAAAUAUUGGUUCUCAAACUCAUCUUC
RNAcentral lists this long non-coding RNA (522 nucleotides) under Mytilus galloprovincialis (Mediterranean mussel). Lineage: Eukaryota; Metazoa; Mollusca; Bivalvia; Mytilida; Mytilidae. The record is from RNAcentral.